Molecule: long non-coding RNA, 873 nt
Filed under: Ananas comosus (pineapple)
Lineage: Eukaryota; Viridiplantae; Streptophyta; Magnoliopsida; Poales; Bromeliaceae
Description: long non-coding RNA (ACOM_LNC017909)
Source: RNAcentral
UGUUAGGUAGGAUUUUAUGGAUUAUCAGAUAGUUUUAUUCAUUCGAUUAUAUAUGUUCUUUUCUCUGUAUCGUGAAAUUUCAUGAAUUUUUGUAAAACCAUUCUAUUUGAUUCUUUGUUCGAUCGGUUCUGUAGCCUUAGAUAUUUACUAUUUUAUGAGGUACACGGCGCUGUCUAUUACGCCUCGAGUUUGGGGCGUGACAUCUAACUUGUGAGAACAAUUUCUCGCCAACGCCCUCCACCGGUUGAUACAUAUGCUAAUACUUUUCAGAACAUGGAGAGUGAAUCAACACUACAACAGAAUUAGGUUAUAGGGACACAUAUUUGGGACACUUUUGAAUAAGUGUCCUAUUUAUGCUAAAACUUAAAAAAAUAUCUACUAAUGCCUAAAUAUAAAGUCCAAUCCAAUCAAAAAUAAAAGAUUACUCUACUCAACCCACCACACCCAGUCCAUUUGACCCGAUUACAAACAGAAAAAAAAAAAAAAAGAAAAAUCAAUUACCAUCUUUUCUUCUCUCUUCACUCAAUCUACUGAAAUUCUAGACGAAGAGCCUUUCCUGUCGUCCUCCUCCGCCACCGCAGCCAACGAGAUAGAGUUUCGGCGGUUGCUAAAUGCUUAAAUAAAUGUUGGUAAAUUAGCAGCACUCUUUUAGGUUAUAGCGACACUUUUUAACUGUCACUAUAUACCUAGCGACCCCACGUAUAGCAACACUUUUAAAAAGUGUCGGUAAUUUUAGCUAGCAGCACUUUUUUGACAUGUACCUACAUUUAAAAGUGUCGCUAUAAACCGUUUUUGUUGUAGUGCAAAUCCAUGUUUGAAAUGAAAUUGAGAUACUAAUGCAAGAGUCAGAAAUUAUCUAUAUAGCUGGUCGAG